CGUAAUCAUUUGUCUUUUAAAUGAAGACCAGUAUGAAUGGCAUAACGAGGGCCAAGCUGUCUCCUUUUUCCAGUCAAUGAAAUUGAUCCCCCUGUGCAGAAGCAGGGACACAAACAUAAGACGAGAAGACCCUAUGGAGCUUAAGACACAAGACAGUUCAUGUUAAAAAACCAUAUUAAUGGAAAGAACCAAAUGACCCCCGUCCUUUUGUCUUUGGUUGGGGCGACCAUGGAGUAACAAAAAACCCCCAUGUGGAACAGGGCCCAGGCCCUUAAAGCUAGAGCCACAGCUCUAACAAACAGAACAUCUGACCUUCAAGAUCCGGCAAGACCGAUCAACGGACCGAGUUACCCUAGGGAUAACAGCGCAAUCCCCUUUUAGAGCCCAUAUCGACAAGGGGGUUUACGACCUCGAUGUUGGAUCAGGACACCCUAAUGGUGCAGCCGCUAUUAAGGGUUCGUUUGUUCAACGAUU
This 474-nucleotide ribosomal RNA is filed under the name Periophthalmus argentilineatus (barred mudskipper). RNAcentral's name for it is "partial 16S ribosomal RNA". It matches the Rfam family "Bacterial large subunit ribosomal RNA", at positions 1960 to 2589 of the family's 2925-position model. Lineage: Eukaryota; Metazoa; Chordata; Actinopteri; Gobiiformes; Gobiidae. The record is from RNAcentral.